AGAAAAGAAAAAAAAAUAAAAAAAAAUAAAAAAAGCCUCUCAUCUCCUCGAACUGCCCGACCUUUGGGUCAACCUAGCGCCGCCAUUGCACCACCAUGCGUGGUGGUGGGCGUUGCGCAAAGAUGGCGACCUAAUCCCUGGUCCAGGGCUCAGAUCUUUAGACCUCGCUUUCGAAGCCUCUAAAAACGAGUCCGUCGGACUCAAAAGACCGAAGAAAGAAGGGUAUUUCGUACCCCUUUUGGUUCGAUUCCAACACCGGAGAAGAUCUCCGACGACGGGCUUUCGAAACCGGUGAGUACUCUCCCCUUUUCAAUCAAUUCGUUAAAGAAAAAAAGGAAACAAAUAAGAAGGAAUACAACCAAGAACAGAAAAGGGAGAAGAACCAGGAUCCACCUUUUCCUUUUUUGAUCUCGUUUUUUUUUAUUGCAAUUGACGUUCCUUUUACAAAGAUAGUGUUUUUUCUGCUUUUAUAUCACAUCUAUUUCUAUUAUUUGCUAUUAUUUGCUACUCUCUGCUUUUUCUGUCAUCUUGCAGGCGUUGAUGAGGCUAGGCACGGUGGGUGGCGAUGGGACUAGGCGAACGGCAGAAGGAGGUGUGCGGCGCUAGGCUUGGCUAGGGUUUCAUUUUUCUGAAACCCUAGUUGGAUUUUGGGGGGAAAUUGGGCUCUGAAUUUGGGCCUUGGGUUUUAGGUUGUAAUUGGGCUUGUGGGUUAUUGGGUAGGUUUAGUUGGGCUUGGUUUUGCUGGUAUAGGGCCCGGGCAAAUGGCUUGUACAAAAAGUUUACCCAUAGUUUAGUGACUAGUGUAGUUUACUCAAUGAAAAAUAAAUUUCAACUUUUAUAUUUUGUUGGAAUCUAUAUUCCAAAUGUUGUUUCUUGUAAAGUUUAGUCUCUUAAUCAAGGUAGUCGAUAUCACAUUG
This 917-nucleotide long non-coding RNA is filed under the name Gossypium barbadense (sea-island cotton). RNAcentral describes it as "long non-coding RNA (GBAR_LNC009528)". The record is from RNAcentral. Lineage: Eukaryota; Viridiplantae; Streptophyta; Magnoliopsida; Malvales; Malvaceae.